GUCCUAUUUCUGAGCUCCUGAUAUAAUGAGUAUCAAAUUCUCCUGCUUAUUUCUGUCAGAGUGACUGAAAUUUUUCUAGAUAAAACAUUAAUUCAAAUGGAGAUAAAAUGGACUACUUAACCUUUCCCCAUUCCUUCUCACCUGACCCUUGCUAGCUCACACUUGCAGGUCAUUAGGUUCAAUUAAGUAAAUUAAAAAGCCAUGAGCAGGCAUUUCCUAGGCUAGAACCUGUUUAGUUAGAUAGCUGUAAAGUAGCAGAGUAACAUUAGCGUUUGUCUAAAGCUGGAGCGGAUGAGAAGGACACAAAAGUUGAAACAUUUUCUGGUGAACUGAGGUCCCACUGACAGCCAUAAGAUGCUGCCUAUAUGGGAUCACAGUAAAUCAAGCACAUUUGACCUACCGAGCUUAACAUGACUGUGGAAAAUACGACUUGCUUUCAGCUUUGUGAGGCCAGUCCACCACAAGAGGUCCAAACCUACGAAAGCUGGCAGUGAUCUCAUCUACAAAAAACAAAUGAGGCACCUUAGAAUGUGAAGACUGACGUGGCAAGUACCUUCAUCAAUGUCAGGAGGAAGACCUCCAACAAACACCUUUCUAGAAUAGCGUUCCACUCUUUCACCGUUUUGACAGCGCGUUGGAGAGCUGAGACCCGACGAUAAAGACUGAUCACCAUGACUGUCGUCUAGGAAGCCAUCUUCAAAAGGAAAGAGUGAGGACCGACCUGUAACAGAUUUUGUAGCAUCUAUAGUUAACGUUGUUUCCUGGAGAAUUAAAUAUUUUAGAAAAAAACGUUAGCUCUUCCUUCUACUGUUUUACUGUAACAGAAUUUGCAUUAAAGGGCCCAACUAAGUGGUCCAGGUGUCCGAAUUAUGUUCUGUUUUUCCAAGGAUGUAUCACCCUUACAAAAACAAUAAACCUAAUUUAGUUUUAAACCAAAGCCUUGCAAAUGGCUAGCAACAAAACCAACAAGCUAUCUGAUGAGAUUGUUGUCAUCACUAUAGAAAGGACCUUUGCAACAUUUACAUUUCAAACCAAUUCUUAAGAGAUUUAAACUUUCCAUAACAGAUCUUCCAGGAAUGAUCUCAAAAGCAGAUCCCUCAAGUCACUGCACACUUUAGAGUGCUUUACAGGGACCUAAUACCAAGGGCUGGAGCACUUCCACCUGGAUGGAACAGAGGCCCUCUAAGGCCACAUUGAGUAGGGGCACAAACAGCAAAAUAAACAUGGGAAAACUCUGCAUUGUGGAUAUUAAACACAUAGAAGAAACCUGGCUAAUAAGAAAAAAAAUCUUGUUUAAUAAACCAAAAAGAACUUGUGCUUGAAGAAAAAAGUUGUUAGCUGGAACAGCCUGUCAGACUGGAUGCUACU
Molecule: long non-coding RNA, 1368 nt
Organism: Chiroxiphia lanceolata (lance-tailed manakin)
Lineage: Eukaryota; Metazoa; Chordata; Aves; Passeriformes; Pipridae
Exons: 4
Source: RefSeq, a predicted model, not a curated record